Molecule: long non-coding RNA, 849 nt
Organism: Mya arenaria
Lineage: Eukaryota; Metazoa; Mollusca; Bivalvia; Myida; Myidae
Exons: 3
Source: RefSeq, a predicted model, not a curated record
AUUUAGUGCUAUUGCUUUAACAUCAAUCGAAGCAAAAAUGGCAUCAAUGUAUGCGUCUGAAAAUGUUAAAUUUAGAUGGAGACAAUCCAGAAAUGAGCUGCCAGGAAGUGAUCGAUUUCGGACACGAAGAUUGGAAGAUUCAUUCUCUGGAAAGUAGAAAAGGGCAUGUUACAUACUGUUAUCACUGCCAUGACAGAAACCAUAUUGAGGAGCUGGUCCACCUGUAGGAAGAAUUGCGCUAUUGGUUGGAGCAGCACUAUUACCCAGCCAUACACCAGCACUUAGUUUGUCAUAGGGAGCAUUUCUGAGCAGUUAUGGAGACCACUAACUAUGCAGUUGUUGCAGUGAAACUGGCACCAGUGUGUUUUCUGUAGAGAUAAAGAGAUAGUGUCCAGCAAUGAAGACCCAACUCAAGAUCUGACCUUGUAAGGCCAAUAUGAAAUAACUGUGUGGGAAAAUGGGAAAAACCUGCAGUCAGGAAUGCACGAAAUCAUCAAAAGAACAGUGUUAAAUUAAUCUUAAAUAACUUGACAUUUAUUUUGUUUGACAUAUUUAUUCAUGGUGCAGUGAAAACAUUCUUUUUUCUCAUGGUUAUUUAAAUUUAGAAUUGAUAGGAGGGAACAUCACUAUGUAGUUUCAUGUUCAUAGUCAGAUCAAAACCCAUGUACAUGCCCAAAUGAGCAUUCGAAAAUAUCAAAAUGGUACUUGUUGUAUGUAGUGUAAGUUAAUUAACAUAAUAAACAAAAAUAUUUAAUAAAUUUCAAUUUAUUAUGCCCCUUUCAAAGAAGAGGAGUAUAUUGCUUUGCACAUGUUGGCCGCUACGUCCGUCUGUCUGACAGUAGACCAAAG